ACAGUCUGGCAAACAGUAUUCAUAAAGUUUGACCUCAAAUCAGGUAGGAUUACCCGCUGAACUUAAGCAUAUCAAUAAGCGGAGGAAAAGAAACCAACCGGGAUUGCCUUAGUAACGGCGAGUGAAGCGGCAAAAGCUCAAAUUUGAAAUCUGGCACCUUCGGUGUCCGAGUUGUAAUUUGAAGAAGCUACUUUGGGGCUAGUCCUUGUCUAUGUUCCUUGGAACAGGACGUCAUGGAGGGUGAGAAUCCCGUAUGGCGAGGAGUCUAGUCCUAUGUAAAGUGCUUUCGACGAGUCGAGUUGUUUGGGAAUGCAGCUCUAAGUGGGUGGUAAAUUCCAUCUAAAGCUAAAUAUUGGCGAGAGACCGAUAGCGAACAAGUACAGUGAUGGAAAGAUGAAAAGAACUUUGAAAAGAGAGUGAAAAAGUACGUGAAAUUGUUGAAAGGGAAGGGCAUUUGAUCAGACAUGGUGUUUUGCGACCCUCGCUCCUUGUGGGUGGGGAUCUCGCAGCUCACUGGGCCAACAUCAGUUUUGGCGGUAGGAUAAAUCUUUGGGAACGUGGCUUGUCUUCGGAGAAGCGUUAUAGCCCAGGGGAAUACUGCCAGCCGGGACUGAGGACUGCGACUUUUGUCAAGGAUGUUGGCAUAAUGGUUAAAUGCCGCCCGUCUUGAAACACGGACCAAGGAGUCUAACGUCUAUGCGAGU
RNAcentral lists this ribosomal RNA (704 nucleotides) under Lachancea thermotolerans. Its description in RNAcentral is "LSU rRNA". It matches the Rfam family "Eukaryotic large subunit ribosomal RNA", at positions 1 to 691 of the family's 3401-position model. Lineage: Eukaryota; Fungi; Ascomycota; Saccharomycetes; Saccharomycetales; Saccharomycetaceae. The record is from RNAcentral.